GCCAGCCAGGAAGGAGGAGGCAGCCAGAGUGGCCACCACUGGUCUCUGCAGCAGAAGACCCCUUGCUGCCAGAUUCUCACGAUACAAGAAGAAGUUAUCUUAGAGAGAAGGCUGUUAUUUCUUCCUGGAGUACCUAGAAUUACCUAGAAUAUGUGUGUCAAGGUCGACCUGGGGUACAGCUGGCUUUACUAUACCCCAUGUGUUACAGAGUCCAAGCUUCAGUGAUUCCCAUUCAGUGAUUCAUUGGCCUGAAGAAAACAAAGUAUCUUGAGCAUG
Long non-coding RNA from Hemicordylus capensis (graceful crag lizard), 276 nucleotides. RefSeq lists it as uncharacterized. The record is from RefSeq and is a predicted model, not a curated record. NCBI's taxonomy places the organism in Eukaryota, Metazoa, Chordata, Lepidosauria, Squamata, Cordylidae. The transcript is spliced from 3 exons.